UUGUAUCCUGGCUCAGGAUGAACGCUGGCGGUAUGCUUAACACAUGCAAGUCGUACGAAAGUUUUUAACUUUAGUGGCGAACGGGUGAGUAAUACGUGAGAAUCUGCCCUUAGGAGGGGAAUAACUGUUGGAAACGACCGCUAAAUCCCCAUAUGCCGAGAGGUCAAAUAGUUUCGACUGCCUAAGGAUGAGCUCGCGCCUGAUUAGCUUGUUGGUGAGGUAAUGGCUCACCAAGGCCACGAUCAGUAGCUGGUUUGAGAGAAUGAUCAGCCACACUGGGACUGAGACACGGCCCAGACUCCUCCGGGAGGCAGCAGUGAGGAAUUUUCCGCAAUGGGCGAAAGCCUGACGGAGCAAUACCGCGUGAGGGAUGAAGGAUUUUGGUCUGUAAACCUCUUUUCUCAAGAAAGAAGUUCUGACGGUACUUGAGGAAUAAGCAUCGGCUAACUCCGUGCCAGCAGCCGCGGUAAUACGGGGGAUGCAAGCGUUAUCCGGAAUCAUUGGGCGUAAAGCGCCUGUAGGUUGUUUAGUAAGUUCGUUGUUAAAGACUAGGGCUUAACCCUGGAAAAGCGAUGAAAACUACUAGGCUUGAGUAUGGUAGGGGUAGAGGGAAUUUCUAGUGUANCGGUGAAAUGCGUANAUAUUANAAAGAACACCGGUGGCNAAAGCGCUCUACUGGGCCAUUACUGACNCUGANAGGCNAAAGCUANGGGANCNAAAGGGAUUANAUACCCCUGUANUCCUANCCNUAAACNAUGGANACNANGGUGUUGUAUUUUCNUACNNUAUCNNANCUAACNCNUCAAGUUUNCCNCCNGGGGAGUACNCUCNNNAGGNUGAAACUNNAAGGAAUUUGACGGGGCCCCNCACAANCNGNUGGANCNUGUGGUUUUAAUUU
RNAcentral lists this ribosomal RNA (898 nucleotides) under uncultured cyanobacterium. RNAcentral's name for it is "partial 16S rRNA". It matches the Rfam family "Bacterial small subunit ribosomal RNA", at positions 12 to 952 of the family's 1533-position model. Lineage: Bacteria; Bacillati; Cyanobacteriota. The record is from RNAcentral.